UACAGAGGUCGCAAGCGUUGUUCGGAUUUAUUGGGCGUAAAGGGUGCGUAGGCGGCGGAGUACGUUGGGUGUGAAAUCCCGGGGCUCAACCUCGGAAUUGCAUUCAAUACUGCUUCGCUCGAGUACUGGAGAGGAGACUGGAAUUUACGGUGUAGCAGUGAAAUGCGUAGAUAUCGUAAGGAAGGCCGGUGGCGAAAGCGAGUCUCUGGACAGUUACUGACGCUGAUGAACGAAGGCCAGGGGAGCAAACGGG
This 253-nucleotide ribosomal RNA is filed under the name uncultured bacterium. RNAcentral's name for it is "partial 16S ribosomal RNA". It matches the Rfam family "Bacterial small subunit ribosomal RNA", at positions 524 to 776 of the family's 1533-position model. The record is from RNAcentral.